AUUGAACGCUGGCGGCAGGCCUAACACAUGCAAGUCGAGCGGAUGAAGGGAGCUUGCUCCUGGAUUCAGCGGCGGACGGGUGAGUAAUGCCUAGGAAUCUGCCUGGUAGUGGGGGAUAACGUCCGGAAACGGGCGCUAAUACCGCAUACGUCCUGAGGGAGAAAGUGGGGGAUCUUCGGACCUCACGCUAUCAGAUGAGCCUAGGUCGGAUUAGCUAGUUGGUGGGGUAAAGGCCUACCAAGGCGACGAUCCGUAACUGGUCUGAGAGGAUGAUCAGUCACACUGGAACUGAAACACGGUCCAGACUCCUAAGGGAGGCAGCAGUGGGGAAUAUUAGGCAAUGGGCGAAAGCCUGAUCCAGCAAUGCCGCGUGUGUGAAGAAGGUCUUCGGAUUGUAAAGCACUUCGAGUAGGGAGGAAGGGCAGUGAGUUAAUACCUUGCUGUUUUGACGUUACCAAAGGAGUAAGCACCGGCUAACUUCGUG
RNAcentral lists this ribosomal RNA (484 nucleotides) under uncultured bacterium. Its description in RNAcentral is "partial 16S ribosomal RNA". It matches the Rfam family "Bacterial small subunit ribosomal RNA", at positions 30 to 507 of the family's 1533-position model. The record is from RNAcentral.